GAUGAACGCUGGCGGCGUGCUUAACACAUGCAAGUCGAACGGAAAGGCCCAAGCUUGCUUGGGUACUCGAGUGGCGAACGGGUGAGUAACACGUGGGUGAUCUGCCCUGCACUUCGGGAUAAGCCUGGGAAACUGGGUCUAAUACCGGAUAGGACCACAUUUUGGAUGGUGUGGUGGAAAGUUUUUCGGUGUGGGAUGAGCUCGCGGCCUAUCAGCUUGUUGGUGGGGUAAUGGCCUACCAAGGCGUCGACGGGUAGCCGGCCUGAGAGGGUGUACGGCCACAUUGGGACUGAGAUACGGCCCAGACUCCUACGGGAGGCAGCAGUGGGGAAUAUUGCACAAUGGGCGCAAGCCUGAUGCAGCGACGCCGCGUGGGGGAUGACGGCCUUCGGGUUGUAAACUCCUUUCGCUAGGGACGAAGCGUUACGUGACGGUACCUGGAGAAGAAGCACCGGCUAACUACGUG
This 466-nucleotide ribosomal RNA is filed under the name uncultured bacterium. RNAcentral's name for it is "partial 16S ribosomal RNA". It matches the Rfam family "Bacterial small subunit ribosomal RNA", at positions 28 to 507 of the family's 1533-position model. The record is from RNAcentral.